GUGGGGAAUAUUGGACAAUGGGCGAAAGCCUGAUCCAGCCAUGCCGCGUGUGUGAAGAAGGUCUUCGGAUUGUAAAGCACUUUAAGUUGGGAGGAAGGGCAGUAAAUUAAUACUUUGCUGUUUUGACGUUACCGACAGAAUAAGCACCGGCUAACUUCGUGCCAGCAGCCGCGGUAAUACGAAGGGUGCAAGCGUUAAUCGGAAUUACUGGGCGUAAAGCGCGCGUAGGUGGUUCGGUAAGAUGGAAGUGAAAGCCCCGGGCUCAACCUGGGAACUGCUUUCAUAACUGCCGAGCUAGAGUACGGUAGAGGGUAGUGGAAUUUCCUGUGUAGCGGUGAAAUGCGUAGAUAUAGGAAGGAACACCAGUGGCGAAGGCGACUACCUGGACUGAUACUGACACUGAGGUGCGAAAGCGUGGGGAGCAAACAGGAUUAGAUACCCGUGUAGUCC
Molecule: ribosomal RNA, 450 nt
Filed under: uncultured bacterium
Lineage: Bacteria
Description: partial 16S ribosomal RNA
Rfam family: Bacterial small subunit ribosomal RNA
Source: RNAcentral